UAAAGUAAAAAAUUUACAGCAAUAAUUCUACAGCAAGAAAUGUUACAGCUACAGCCAACAAAGCUACAGCAAAAAUUCUACAGUUACAGCCUAACCAAUCACCCACUAUAUCUUUGAGUAUAUAUUAAACUUAACCUUUACCA
RNAcentral lists this small RNA (143 nucleotides) under Arabidopsis thaliana (thale cress). RNAcentral describes it as "ATSL080970". Lineage: Eukaryota; Viridiplantae; Streptophyta; Magnoliopsida; Brassicales; Brassicaceae. The record is from RNAcentral.